This 497-nucleotide ribosomal RNA is filed under the name uncultured bacterium. RNAcentral describes it as "partial 16S ribosomal RNA". It matches the Rfam family "Bacterial small subunit ribosomal RNA", at positions 28 to 507 of the family's 1533-position model. The record is from RNAcentral.
GAUGAACGCUGGCGGCGUGCCUAAUACAUGCAAGUCGAGCGAACAGACGAGGAGCUUGCUCCUCUGACGUUAGCGGCGGACGGGUGAGUAACACGUGGAUAACCUACCUAUAAGACUGGGAUAACUUCGGGAAACCGGAGCUAAUACCGGAUAAUAUAUUGAACCGCAUGGUUCAAUAGUGAAAGACGGUUUUGCUGUCACUUAUAGAUGGAUCCGCGCCGCAUUAGCUAGUUGGUAAGGUAACGGCUUACCAAGGCAACGAUGCGUAGCCGACCUGAGAGGGGGGGCGGCCACACUGGAACUGAGACACGGGCCAGACUCCUACGGGAGGCAGCAGUAGGGAAUCUGCCGCAAUGGGCGAAAGCCUGACGGAGCAACGCCGCGUGAGUGAUGAAGGUCUUCGGAUCGUAAAACUCUGUUAUUAGGGAAGAACAAAUGUGUAAGUAACUAUGCACGUCUUGACGGUACCUAAUCAGAAAGCCACGGCUAACUACGUG